RNAcentral lists this ribosomal RNA (695 nucleotides) under Candidatus Saccharimonadota bacterium. RNAcentral describes it as "partial 23S ribosomal RNA". It matches the Rfam family "Bacterial large subunit ribosomal RNA", at positions 1 to 516 of the family's 2925-position model. Lineage: Bacteria; Candidatus Saccharimonadota. The record is from RNAcentral.
UAAGAAGUUACUCAAGCGCACAUAACGGAUGCCUUGACACAAGUUACCGAUGAAGGACGUAGUAGGCUGCGAUAAGCUUCGGGGAGCUGCCAAACAAGCUUUGAACCGAAGAUAUCCGAAUGGGGAAACCCUAUCAGAGUCAUGUCUGAUAGCUCUUAUCUGAACACAUAGGAUAAGAAGCGGGAACCGGGGGAACUGAAACAUCUUAGUACCUCGAGGAAGAGAAAAUAACCAAUGAUUCCGGCAGUAGUGGCGAGCGAACCCGGAAGAGCCCAAACCUUUUAUGCUUCCGUCUAUUAAUGGACGGAUAAGUUGGUAGACGAAUGUAUAACAGGGGUUGUGACACUACAAACAAUCCAUGCAGAUUACUUGAAUGCGCUUUGCGCAAGCUCGAGUCUUCUGUAUGGCUAGCAGGUGCUACCACCAGCCUGCACAAGGUAAAAAUUUGCUGCAAAGCAAAGCGAAGCGAGCAGAACAGGCUGGAAAGCCUGGCCAAAGACGGUGAUAGCCCCGUAUGCCAAGUAUUCGCAAACCUUGUAUUUGUAGGAGUCUGUUAAGGGAUUUUAUCUCUCAUACAGACUCGUAUGUCGAGUAGGUCGGGACACGAGAAACCCUGACUGAAGCUGGGACGACCACGUUCCAAGGCUAAAUAUAACUUGUGAUCGAUAGCGAACUAGUACCGCGAGGGAAAGGUA